Thalassophryne amazonica is the source of this 143-nucleotide long non-coding RNA. RefSeq lists it as uncharacterized. The record is from RefSeq and is a predicted model, not a curated record. The transcript is spliced from 3 exons. Lineage: Eukaryota; Metazoa; Chordata; Actinopteri; Batrachoidiformes; Batrachoididae.
AUGGAAAAGUUUAUUACUCAACGAGACAGAGAUGAGCUGCACCAGAUUAUAGCUAAAUAGCUAGUUUCCAUCCGCAGUCCCUGGGCACAUCAAAUAAAUUAACAGUGAAAUAGCACAAUAUUCUAAAACUCCUCUCCAGCAAU